UGGAUGUGACAAAGGUAAAAAAAGGUAAAAACAAAGGAAAAACAGACAACGACACAAGAUGGAGCAUCUCUGAUACAAGCAGUUUUGUUUGGAGCAUCUCCAAACCUAUUACUAUCAAGGUUUCGAUUUCACUGUAGAAUUCCAUAUGCAGAAAAAAACAACAGUAAAUUUUUGAAGUUAGACGAGAAAGAGAGAGAAGAAAGGGACAAAGGGUGCUGAAUCCCUCUAUCUACUGAUCAAUGUUUCCCAGAAGAAUCUUUUUUUUUUUUUUUUUUCUCCAAAUGUAAUAAAGAUCUUUUUAGGUGCAUCGAUUUACGUCAGCCUGUUAUACCCAUUGCAUGCAAAGGUUUCCGUCCUUGGACCCACGAGUACGUAUUUGCAUGAGCUGUGAUUUUGGAGUUUCUGUCAAGUUUCUCAACCUGGAUUUGCUUGCACGUGAUAUUCACGUGAGAGACGGCUCCUCUCAUACCAGCUACAAACCUAUUCAAGCUUAGAAUCAAACUAACACGAGACUAAAAUCGAAUCAGAUUAGAGCUUUACAAGUCCACUGUAUUUAUGACAUUAUGGCUUGUAGUAAGCUUAUGCAUUUGAUAUUUAAAAUUAAGUUGAACCAAUUUGUCAUUUUGCCUUUGCAUUUAAUUCCCUCUUUGGAACUUUCCCUUGUUUGGGUUUCUGCAGUUGUUGAAUGGAAGUGAACUGAUGUGCCCAAAUGGCCAAAUCCAA
Molecule: long non-coding RNA, 723 nt
Organism: Hevea brasiliensis (rubber tree)
Lineage: Eukaryota; Viridiplantae; Streptophyta; Magnoliopsida; Malpighiales; Euphorbiaceae
Exons: 2
Source: RefSeq, a predicted model, not a curated record